UAAGCGAAGGGGUUUAAUAUUUUCGUCUUGCUAAGUCAUGAUUAAAGGAUCAAGGAUUCUGGACCUUACGAUGAAUAUGAGAUCGAUGGUUUGACAUUAAUACGUCUUUUCAGUAACACCGAACCGCCUUACACUACAUAAGCCCCUCAAGCCCCGAGCGUUGAUAUAAGCGAAGGGGUUUAAUCGCUUCCCAACGAGGGUGGUGUAACAAACACUUUACUACUCAUCGUGUCGUUUUCCUAUAUAUGCAACCUUGAGUGUGCGAAUGUUUGGCGUCAUUUUAUGACUUCACCCGAACGUCGCGCGACUACGAACAACAUGCGGCUUCACCCUAAACGACAUUCCUCCCGAUUAACCUGACAAGAGUCAUUUUCCCGACUUCAUGUAAAGGGUGGAGUAUUUGCGAAAUCAUUUUCCUGACUUCAUUUUUCCUCCCUCGUUCCACCUAUUAGGAGUCAAUUUUCUGACAUCCUGCAUGCCUUCCUUAUUCACCGAUCAGGAGUCAAUUUUCUGACAUCCUGCGUGCCUUCCUUAUUCACC
RNAcentral lists this long non-coding RNA (540 nucleotides) under Vigna radiata. Its description in RNAcentral is "long non-coding RNA (VRAD_LNC002242)". Lineage: Eukaryota; Viridiplantae; Streptophyta; Magnoliopsida; Fabales; Fabaceae. The record is from RNAcentral.